This 468-nucleotide ribosomal RNA is filed under the name uncultured bacterium. Its description in RNAcentral is "partial 16S ribosomal RNA". It matches the Rfam family "Bacterial small subunit ribosomal RNA", at positions 28 to 507 of the family's 1533-position model. The record is from RNAcentral.
GACGAACGCUGGCGGCGUGCUUAACACAUGCCAGUCGAACGGAAAGGCCCUGCUUUUGUGGGGUGCUCGAGUGGCGAACGGGUGAGUAACACGUGAGUAACCUGCCCUGGACUUUGGGAUAACUUCAGGAAACUGGGGCUAAUACCGGAUAGGAGCUCCUGCUGCAUGGUGGGGGUUGGAAAGUUUCGGCGGUUGGGGAUGGACUCGCGGCUUAUCAGCUUGUUGGUGGGGUAGUGGCUUACCAAGGCUUUGACGGGUAGCCGGCCUGAGAGGGUGACCGGCCACAUUGGGACUGAGAUACGGCCCAGACUCCUACGGGAGGCAGCAGUGGGGAAUAUUGCACAAUGGGCGGAAGCCUGAUGCAGCAACGCCGCGUGCGGGAUGACGGCCUUCGGGUUGUAAACCGCUUUCGCCUGUGACGAAGCGUGUGUGACGGUAAUGGGUAAAGAAGCACCGGCUAACUACGUG